UGCGCAGGCGGGGAAAUAAGUCAGUGGUGAAAAGCUGCCGCUUAACGGUAGUCUUGCCAAUGAUACUGUUUUUCUUGAGUAUGGUUAAGGUAGGCGGAAUGUGCAGUGUAGCGGUGAAAUGCAUAGAGAUUACACAGAAGGCCGAUUGCGGAGGCAGCUUACUGAGCCAUAACUGACGCUGAGGCACGAAAGCGUGGGGAUCGAGCAGGAUUAGAUACCCUGGUAGUCC
Molecule: ribosomal RNA, 229 nt
Filed under: uncultured bacterium
Lineage: Bacteria
Description: partial 16S ribosomal RNA
Rfam family: Bacterial small subunit ribosomal RNA
Source: RNAcentral